AUUGAACGCUGGCGGCAUGCCUUACACAUGCAAGUCGAACGGCAGCACGGGUGCUUGCACCUGGUGGCGAGUGGCGAACGGGUGAGUAAUACAUCGGAACAUGUCCUGUAGUGGGGGGUAGCCAGGCGAAAGCCGGAUUAAUACCGCAUACGAUCCACGGAUGAAAGCGGGGGCCCUUCGGGCCUCGCGCUAUAGGGUUGGCCGAUGGCUGAUUAGCUAGUUGGUGGGGUAAAGGCCUACCAAGGCGACGAUCAGUAGCUGGUCUGAGAGGAAGACCAGCCACACUGGGACUGAGACACGGCCCAGACUCCUACGGGAGGCAGCAGUGGGGAAUUUUGGACAAUGGGCGAAAGCCUGAUCCAGCAAUGCCGCGUGUGUGAAGAAGGCCUUCGGGUUGUAAAGCACUGUUGUCCGGAAAGAAAUCCUUGACUCUAAUACAGUCGGGGGAUGACGGUACCGGAAGAAUAAGCACCGGCUAACUACGUG
This 486-nucleotide ribosomal RNA is filed under the name uncultured bacterium. RNAcentral describes it as "partial 16S ribosomal RNA". It matches the Rfam family "Bacterial small subunit ribosomal RNA", at positions 30 to 507 of the family's 1533-position model. The record is from RNAcentral.